AGUGAAGAGGAUUCAGCCAUCAAUUUGAGUGAUGGAGGGAUGGCUGGUAAUCUUUUUAGCUCAUUGGAUGAGCCGCAGAAGAAUACUUCACCCACCAAGAAAAGGCCGAGAAUUCAUCGUGAAGCUGAUGAAACCUCAAAUCAAGGUAAUAAGGGUGUAGCUUUUCAGACAUGAAUAAAAUAACUGUACUAGUGCGUUCAUCGUGAAGCUGAUGAAACUUCAAAUCAAGGUAAUAAAUGACAAUUUAUGUAUAAGAGUGUAGCUUUUCAGACAUGAAUAAAAUAACUGUACUAGUGCUUCUUAUCAUAA
This 309-nucleotide long non-coding RNA is filed under the name Nicotiana benthamiana. RNAcentral describes it as "long non-coding RNA (NBEN_LNC013547)". The record is from RNAcentral. Lineage: Eukaryota; Viridiplantae; Streptophyta; Magnoliopsida; Solanales; Solanaceae.